GAUGAACGCUGGCGGCGUGCCUAAUACAUGCAAGUCGAGCGAACGGACGAGAAGCUUGCUUCUCUGAUGUUAGCGGCGGACGGGUGAGUAACACGUGGAUAACCUACCUAUAAGACUGGGAUAACUUCGGGAAACCGGAGCUAAUACCGGAUAAUAUUUUGAACCGCAUUGUUCAAAAGUGAAAGACGGUCUUGCUGUCACUUCUAGAUGGAUCCGCGCUGCAUUAGCUAGUUGGUAAGUUAACGGCUUACCAAGGCAACGAUGCAUAGCCGACCUGAGAGGGUGAUCGGCCACAUUGGAACUGAGACACGGUCCAGACUCCUACGGGAGGCAGCAGUAGGGAAUCUUCCGCAAAGGGCGAAAGCCUGACGGAGCAACGCCGCGUGAGUGAUGAAGGUCUUCGGAUCGUAAAACUCUGUUAUUAGGGAAGAACAUAUGUGUAAGUAACUGUGCACAUCUUGACGGUACCGAAUCAGAAAGCCACGGCUAACUACGUG
This 497-nucleotide ribosomal RNA is filed under the name uncultured bacterium. RNAcentral's name for it is "partial 16S ribosomal RNA". It matches the Rfam family "Bacterial small subunit ribosomal RNA", at positions 28 to 507 of the family's 1533-position model. The record is from RNAcentral.